RNAcentral lists this ribosomal RNA (497 nucleotides) under uncultured bacterium. Its description in RNAcentral is "partial 16S ribosomal RNA". It matches the Rfam family "Bacterial small subunit ribosomal RNA", at positions 28 to 507 of the family's 1533-position model. The record is from RNAcentral.
GGUGAACGCUGGCGGCGUGCCUAAUACAUGCAAGUCGAGCGAACAGAUAAGGAGCUUGCUCCUUUGACGUUAGCGGCGGACGGGUGAGUAACACGUGGGUAACCUACCUAUAAGACUGGAAUAACUCCGGGAAACCGGGGCUAAUGCCGGAUAACAUUUAGAACCGCAUGGUUCUAAAGUGAAAGAUGGUUUUGCUAUCACUUAUAGAUGGACCCGCGCCGUAUUAGCUAGUUGGUAAGGUAACGGCUUACCAAGGCAACGAUACGUAGCCGACCUGAGAGGGUGAUCGGCCACACUGGAACUGAGACACGGUCCAGACUCCUACGGGAGGCAGCAGUAGGGAAUCUUCCGCAAAGGGCGAAAGCCUGACGGAGCAACGCCGCGUGAGUGAUGAAGGUCUUCGGAUCGUAAAACUCUGUUAUUAGGGAAGAACAAAUGUGUAAGUAACUGUGCACGUCUUGACGGUACCUAAUCAGAAAGCCACGGCUAACUACGUG